CCAACACCCAACACCCACCACCGCCGUGCAUACACACCAUCAUCCUCUAGUUUUCGAAAACCCAAGACUCCUACGGCGACAUCGCGACCAACCCCUCCAUCCGUGUAGUCGCCAGAAUCGGUCCAAACGUCUGCUACUACGGCGGCGUUUAUUGCGCCCCAUUCCCAACCAACCCUUCCAUCCGCAUAGUCACCGGAAUCGACCUCAACCACGGUGACAUCGCCGGUUACCUCCCGUCAGAGCUCGGCCUGUUAACCGAUCUAGCCCUGUUGCACUCUCUCCCUCUCAACUCUCUCUCAUCCCUCUUUCUCUCUCUCAAACACCCAACUCUAGUACCACCACUACCACCAAAUCAUCCUAAAAUCAACCCCCUUAACAACAAAUAUCCCACACCAAACAAUCAUUAUGUGUUAACCUUCAGUUACUUCUUCUUAAAGUUUCUUUUUCGACUUACACAUGAACCAAACCAUUUCUUUAGAAAAAACGAGGAAAAAGACUCAUAAACAUCCAAUACACAGAUUAUUAUGUCAGAUAAGCAGCCACAGAAGUCUUCAGGGUUAGUGACAUCGUAUUUAUAAGAAAAGUGCACACGGUGCCUCACCUUCUUGGCGAUAGACAGCUCCGAUUCCAACUGUUUGAUGUAAUUCAAAGCUUC
Helianthus annuus (common sunflower) is the source of this 655-nucleotide long non-coding RNA. RefSeq lists it as uncharacterized. The record is from RefSeq and is a predicted model, not a curated record. The transcript is spliced from 3 exons. Lineage: Eukaryota; Viridiplantae; Streptophyta; Magnoliopsida; Asterales; Asteraceae.